RNAcentral lists this ribosomal RNA (888 nucleotides) under Halieaceae bacterium. RNAcentral's name for it is "bacterial SSU rRNA". It matches the Rfam family "Bacterial small subunit ribosomal RNA", at positions 111 to 997 of the family's 1533-position model. Lineage: Bacteria; Pseudomonadati; Pseudomonadota; Gammaproteobacteria; Cellvibrionales; Halieaceae. The record is from RNAcentral.
UAACGCGUAAGAAUCUACCAUAGUAGUGGGGGACAACUCGGGGAAACUCGAGCUAAUACCGCAUACGCCCUACGGGGGAAAGCGGGGGACCUUCGGGCCUCGUGCUAUUAGAUGAGCUUGCGUUGGAUUAGCUUGUUGGUGGGGUAAUGGCCCACCAAGGCGACGAUCCAUAGCUGGUCUGAGAGGAUGAUCAGCCACACCGGGACUGAGACACGGCCCGGACUCCUACGGGAGGCAGCAGUGGGGAAUAUUGCGCAAUGGGCGAAAGCCUGACGCAGCCAUGCCGCGUGUGUGAAGAAGGCCCUAGGGUUGUAAAGCACUUUCAAUUGGGAGGAAAAGCUAACGACUAAUACUCGUUAGCCCUGACGUUACCUUUAGAAGAAGCACCGGCUAACUCCGUGCCAGCAGCCGCGGUAAUACGGAGGGUGCAAGCGUUAAUCGGAAUUACUGGGCGUAAAGCGCGCGUAGGCGGCUUUUUAAGUCGGAUGUGAAAGCCCCGGGCUCAACCUGGGAACUGCACCCGAUACUGGAAGGCUAGAGUGCGAGAGAGGGAGGUAGAAUUCCAUGUGUAGCGGUGAAAUGCGUAGAUAUAUGGAGGAAUACCAGUGGCGAAGGCGGCCUCCUGGCUCGACACUGACGCUGAGGUGCGAAAGCGUGGGGAGCAAACAGGAUUAGAUACCCUGUAGUCCACGCCGUAAACGAUGUCUACUAGCUGUUGGGGUACUUGAGACCUUGGUAGCGCAGCUAACGCACUAAGUAGACCGCCUGGGGAGUACGGCCGCAAGGUUAAAACUCAAAUGAAUUGACGGGGGCCCGCACAAGCGGUGGAGCAUGUGGUUUAUUCGAUGCAACGCGAAAACCUUACCAAGCCUUGACAUCCUCGAACUU